CCUCGUUAAUGUCAGUCUCUGGGCUAAACCUGGGGAACAUAACAAGCAAGUCAGAGAUGCCCCUGAUGCUGAUGGAAUUCAGAAGCACGGGAAGAUUUAAACAAGUCCACGGCAGCAUCGUAGAGCAAAGAGGACGAGCUACAAAUCCAGCAAGUCUAUUCUCCUGCAUCCAUCGUCUUUCAGUUCUACAUCCCGGGACCACAAUCGAACACCUGCAGACGUAAUGAGGAUUGCACGGACCCGUUCAUAAAAUCUGCAUACCUUUCUACAGCGGCACAGUGGGACCUUUCUUGAGGCUGAGGAAACAAAGAACAACAGGCAUUAAGUACGGUAGCCAGCAGUGUGCAAUAGUGCACAACACUAUGAAGAUGCAUGAUACACGGUACAGAGCCGGUUUGUCUGCAUUGGUGACAUCACACCCAGCACCACGAGCAACUCCAAACACUGGGAAAAAAAUACAUUUAACAAGUGUUGAUCGCAUGCAUACCUUGACACCCAUUUUGCAGUCCUUCAACUUUUAAUGUCUCCUAACCCAACACACUCAUACACUGGCAUUUAGUUCCUAAAUCUAUUCUUUUAAGCAAAACAGAUUUUUCUUUUAUUAACAAAGUUAUCAAUUGGAUAGACAAUCUCAAUAUGUUCUAUAUUUUAAAACUAUUCAACAAAUAAAGUUUAUAU
Molecule: long non-coding RNA, 678 nt
Organism: Microtus oregoni (creeping vole)
Lineage: Eukaryota; Metazoa; Chordata; Mammalia; Rodentia; Cricetidae
Exons: 3
Source: RefSeq, a predicted model, not a curated record